GUGAGUGCCAUGCCAGUGCCACCAGUGUGGGGUGGAGGAGACGCGCUCGGAGAAAGCAGUUGCUCGCACAGCCCGUUUGGCUGAUUGGCCAAGAAAGAAAGAGCUCCUCUCUUCGGGUGGCAUGGCGUCCUCCGGAGACAGAGGCGUGCUCCGCUCUGCUACAGACAGCCUAGGUGAUCAGAAGAGGAAAAUAAGUUUUCAUGCUUUUUCCAGCUCUCAGUUGGUUUCUCAACUUUGCACUAACUAAUUCAAAUGAAGAAAAUGUUCUCUCUGCACCUGCUAGCUAAACUAAAACCAAAAAGUUAAUCAUCAAGGAGAUGCCAUCCUGUGGAUACUGGUAGAGAGCAGAAUGACUAAAUAAAUCAAGACAACAUAUACAACACAACAGCAGCCUAAUCUUGGUAAUCCUGGGGCAUUAAAAGAAGAAAUUGCGAAGUUCUUCUAUGCUUAGCCUCUGUGGAAAUAUAAAUAAAAGGAAACUGAAUAUAUUGUCCACACUGUUCUGGAGAACAAAGUUGUGAUAUUUUACUUUGUAGCGAC
Molecule: long non-coding RNA, 540 nt
Filed under: Pelusios castaneus (West African mud turtle)
Lineage: Eukaryota; Metazoa; Chordata; Testudines; Pelomedusidae
Description: lncRNA (ENSPCEG00000010524.1)
Source: RNAcentral